Mauremys reevesii (Reeves's turtle) is the source of this 564-nucleotide non-coding RNA. The record is from the annotation of a RefSeq genome assembly. NCBI's taxonomy places the organism in Eukaryota, Metazoa, Chordata, Testudines, Geoemydidae.
CUCCCAGUCCUUCCGGGAAGUUGCCUUUAAAAUUCUUCUCCCAGCGACCUCUCAGCUUGUCCGGCUGCCGCUGUCUGAGCACCAUGGAGACGCGGUUCAUUCUCAGCCUUUGGGUCUUUAGCCAACUAGGUGCGGUGCUGGGUGACUCGGUCCGGUGCAAGGAACCCGAAGUGUCCAGGUCAGAGGGAGACACCGUGACUCUCAGCUGUUCUUAUGAAACCAGCUACACUGCCGGUGUCUAUCUCUACUGGUACCGCCAGUACCCGAACCGAGCCCCGCAGUUCAUCCUCCUGAGAGGAGCAAAAGGAAGCACGUUCAGUGAUACCGCAGGUUUCGCCCAGGAGAGGUUUUCUUCCCAGGCGAACGACAGCUCCACAGUUCUGAACAUCACAGCCCUGGAGCUGGCAGACACAGCGGUGUAUCUCUGCGCCCUGCAGAGAGCACAGUGACAGAGCCUCACAGCAGAGCUGCACAAAAACCCUCCCAGCCCUGCUGCGGGGAUGGUACAGGCAUUAAAACGGGCAGCAGCGCCUUGAACGAGUGUAUUCGCGCUGCUUAAAUAUA